Long non-coding RNA from Helianthus annuus (common sunflower), 1541 nucleotides. RefSeq lists it as uncharacterized. The record is from RefSeq and is a predicted model, not a curated record. The transcript has 2 exons. NCBI's taxonomy places the organism in Eukaryota, Viridiplantae, Streptophyta, Magnoliopsida, Asterales, Asteraceae.
CCCCUCCUCUCUUCUACAGCCUGCAACCUCCUCUCUUUUCUCUGCAAACUGUCUGUUUCAUAAACCCUAAUUAGGGUUUCCAUGAAAAAAGACCAACUACAAACUUUGUAGAUCUGCAAAACAGCCAUAAAAAUGGUCCUCUUUCUAUUCUUCCACGGCUUUCUUGAACUGCAUGGGUUUUGAUCUAUCAGAUCUGUGUUUUAUCAUAUUGUCUUUGCGGUUCAAUAAAGCUGUGGGAAGAUAGAGACAGGAUCAAACCAGAAGAAGCAAGAAAGUUACAUUAUUUCUUGAUUUUUAUUUCAUUUUCUUGAUCUUUAAUUAUCUGAAAUUUCUGCUUGAUUUUCUUAUGUAGGUGUGGUUUUGAUUUAUAUGAGUUCUAUAUGUUUGAUAUGAAUUUUAGAGUAUACAUAAACCUGCGCUGAAAACCAAAUAUGUAAUUCGGUACGGUCUUAAACCGGAUAGAGUUGGUUUUUGGUUUAAUUGGUUUGAGACCGAAUAACCAACAUCCCUAUCAAGACUUGGAAGGUGAAAUAAUUAUUGAUUCAUUGAUCGACAUGGCCAAAGGUUUCUUUGGUGUUUCUAUUCUGCUCUCUCUCUCUCUCUCUCUCUCUCUCUUUGGUGUCUCUCUCUCUCUCUCUCUCUCUCUCUGUAUUCAGAAGUCUGUAACUACUGGAAUUGGAUUGUUUAUUGGAUGUAUGUACUCUUGUUUAAUUUAUAUUUUAAUUCAUCAAUUUUGUCAUCUAACUUGGAGGUAUGUAUGAAUUUAUAGUAAAUUGGUUAUGGGUUCCCUUUAUUUGAUGUCAAAAGAGAAAAACAAAACAGAAAAAUAUCUGUCAUAAUUCAUAACGGAAAUUAAUUAUUGAGAUCUAAAUGAUGAUUAAUAAUGUAAAAAUUAUGAAUACUUUUAGCCUUUAAAUAUGUAUAAUUAUUUCCCUGGAAAAAAGCAUCAAAAUUGAAUUUUAAUGAAUUUUGUAGGGUACCAAUCUAUAUUGUAUGUAUAUGGACCACAAGAAUGCAAGUAAUUUCCCUCUUUCUUAUAUCGAAUCCCUCUCUCUCUAGUAAGUUAGCUCAUACAAUUUUAAAGCCAUUCAUUUGAAUUAGGUAAGCAUGUGAUUGGAGUGUAUUUUUAAUUGCUAGUUUGCAAAUUUCUUACGAUAUUUAUGUACAACUAAAUGCCCAAUAUACAUUUCCUUACAGUAGUAAAGAAAAUUGCUUUCACUCAUUAAAGAGAUUUUUAUACACUUGUGUUGCUUAGUUGUUCUUAUCAAUAAACGAUGCAAUCUAUAAGUUUUUUAUACAUAUUUUGCGACUUUGGUUGUGUUAAAGUUAUCCGUCAAAAACAUGUGUAGACGGAUGCAGAAGGGAGAUCAAGGGUGUUUAUUAGUUUCGUGUUAUAAUCGAAUAUAAGUGGCAUGUAAAAUUAACUUCACAAAAGAUAGUCUUUGAAAGGAACAAGAUGUAGGAUGAGCAAGUAUGUGUUCGAAUGGUUAAAUUCUAAUAUAAUUUUGCUAUUAUAAUGUUGCAUUAAUUUUUCUCUUUAA